UCGGGAAUUUUGCACAAUGGGCGAAAGCCUGAUGCAGCAACGCCGCGUGAGGGAUGAAGGCCUUCGGGUUGUAAACCUCUUUUCCUGGGGACGAUGAUGACGGUACCCGGGGAAUAAGCCACGGCUAACUACGUGCCAGCAGCCGCGGUAAUACGUAGGUGGCGAGCGUUGUCCGGAUUUACUGGGCGUAAAGAGCGCGCAGGCGGUCGGUCAAGUCGAAUGUGAAAGCCCCCGGCUCAACUGGGGAGUGUCAUUCGAUACUGGUCGACUCGAAGGCGGGAGAGGGAAGCGGAAUUCCCGGUGUAGUGGUGAAAUGCGUAGAUAUCGGGAGGAACACCAGUGGCGAAGGCGGCUUUCUGGCCCGUUCUUGACGCUGAGGCGCGAAAGCCAGGGGAGCAAACGGG
This 404-nucleotide ribosomal RNA is filed under the name uncultured bacterium. Its description in RNAcentral is "bacterial SSU rRNA". It matches the Rfam family "Bacterial small subunit ribosomal RNA", at positions 355 to 776 of the family's 1533-position model. The record is from RNAcentral.